CUGAUAGGUUGUUGCUGGCUCUCUAGGGAGUAUGUGCACACUUGUCAUCUUUAUAUCUCCACCUGUGCACCUUUUGUAGAUCUGGAUAUCUUUCUGAAUGCCUGGCAUUCAGGUUUGAAGAUUGACUUUUGUCUUUCUUUACAUUUCCAGGCCUAUGUUUUCUUCAUAUACACCAUGUAUGUUGUAGAAUGUAAUGAAAAAGGCCUUUGUGCCUACAAACCUAUACAACUUUCAGCAACGGAUCUCUUGGCUCUCGCAUCGAUGAAGAACGCAGCGAAAUGCGAUAAGUAAUGUGAAUUGCAGAAUUCAGUGAAUCAUCGAAUCUUUGAACGCACCUUGCGCUCCUUGGUAUUCCGAGGAGCAUGCCUGUUUGAGUGUCAUUAAUAUAUCAACCUCCUCAGGUUUUUACUUGUUGAGUGUUUGGAUGUGGGGGUCUCUUUUGCUGGUCUCUUUUGAGGUCGGCUCCCCUGAAAUGCAUUAGCGGAACAAUUGUUGAUUCGUUCAUUGGUGUGAUAACUAUCUACGCUAUUGACGUUAAGCAGGUUCAGCUUCUAACAGUCCAUUGACUUGGACAAAUUUUCAUUAAUGUGACCUCAAAUCAGGUAGGACUACCCGCUGAACUUAAGCAUAUCAAUAAGCGGA
RNAcentral lists this ribosomal RNA (642 nucleotides) under uncultured fungus. RNAcentral describes it as "eukaryotic LSU rRNA". The stretch from base 227 to 380 matches the Rfam family "5.8S ribosomal RNA". Lineage: Eukaryota; Fungi. The record is from RNAcentral.